Molecule: long non-coding RNA, 407 nt
Filed under: Homo sapiens (human)
Lineage: Eukaryota; Metazoa; Chordata; Mammalia; Primates; Hominidae
Description: long intergenic non-protein coding RNA 1002
Source: RNAcentral
CUUCCAAAGUUGGAGAAAGCUGCCAGGCUCAGGUCUGAAGGCCAGAAUUCUACAGUAAGUCCUACUGAGUCAAGGUGGGAGCAGGGUCGGUAGCUUCCGAGGCUCUGCGGGAGAAUCUGUUUCCUGGCCGUAGAGGUGGCCUGCACUCCUCAGCCUGUGCUGCCCGUCUCGAAUGACUGGAGUUUCCUGCUUCUGUCACUACACCUCCCACCCUCUCCAUCACCUGCUCUGCUCUUACAAGGAUCCGAAGAAAUGGAAUCAUCGUAUCGCUGAUCUACGUAAACAAACUGAAGAAUUGUCUGAAAGAAAAUAUGACAUGAACUUAUGAAUUCAAUAGGUGAAGAUUUACAACUUGAUAAAUCAACUUUGUCAGAGCCACCUAAGCUGAAGAUUCCCUUGAGAACAAG